RNAcentral lists this ribosomal RNA (251 nucleotides) under uncultured prokaryote. RNAcentral's name for it is "partial 16S ribosomal RNA". It matches the Rfam family "Bacterial small subunit ribosomal RNA", at positions 524 to 774 of the family's 1533-position model. The record is from RNAcentral.
UACGGAGGAUGCAAGCGUUAUCCGGAUUCAUUGGGUUUAAAGGGUGCGUAGGCGGACUAUUAAGUCAGUGGUGAAAGCCUGCAGCUUAACUGCAGAACUGCCAUUGAUACUGAUAGUCUUGAGUUUGGUUAAGGUAGGCGGAAUGUGUAAUGUAGCGGUGAAAUGCUUAGAUAUUACACAGAACACCGAUUGCGAAGGCAGCUUGCUGGGUCAUUACUGACGCUGAUGCACGAAAGCGUGGGGAUCAAACA